ACCCAGUCUCGUCAGAUCAUGGAAGUUAAGCAACAUUGGGUCAAGUUAGUACUUGGAUGGGUGACCGCCUGGGAAUACUUGAUGCUGUAGGUAA
Molecule: ribosomal RNA, 94 nt
Filed under: Acartia pacifica
Lineage: Eukaryota; Metazoa; Arthropoda; Copepoda; Calanoida; Acartiidae
Source: RNAcentral